AGUGAACGCUUGCGGUAGGCCUAACACAUGCAAGUCGAACGGCAGCACAGUAAGAGCUUGCUCUUACGGGUGGCGAGUGGCGGACGGGUGAGGAAUACAUCGGAAUCUACUUUUUCGUGGGGGAUAACGUAGGGAAACUUACGCUAAUACCGCAUACGACCUACGGGUGAAAGCAGGGGAUCUUCGGACCUUGCGCGAUUGAAUGAGCCGAUGUCGGAUUAGCUAGUUGGCGGGGUAAAGGCCCACCAAGGCGACGAUCCGUAGCUGGUCUGAGAGGAUGAGCAGCCACACUGGAACUGAGACACGGUCCAGACUCCUACGGGAGGCAGCAGUGGGGAAUAUUGGACGAUGGGCGCAAGCCUUAUCCAGCCAUACCGCGUGGGUGAAGAAGGCCUUCGGGUUGUAAAGCCCUUUUGUUGGGAAAGAAAAGCAGCAGGUUAAUACCCCGCUGUUCUGACGGUACCCAAAGAAUAAGCACCGGCUAACUUCGUG
Molecule: ribosomal RNA, 492 nt
Filed under: uncultured bacterium
Lineage: Bacteria
Description: partial 16S ribosomal RNA
Rfam family: Bacterial small subunit ribosomal RNA
Source: RNAcentral